GCAGUCGAGCGGUAGGCCCUUCGGGGUACACGAGCGGCGAACGGGUGAGUAACACGUGGGUAACCUGCCCUGUACUCUGGGAUAAGCCUUGGAAACGAGGUCUAAUACCGGAUACGACUUGGAAUCGCAUGAUUCUAGGUGGAAAGUUCCGGCGGUAUGGGAUGGACCCGCGGCCUAUCAGCUUGUUGGUGGGGUAAUGGCCUACCAAGGCGACGACGGGUAGCCGGCCUGAGAGGGUGACCGGCCACACUGGGACUGAGACACGGCCCAGACUCCUACGGGAGGCAGCAGUGGGGAAUAUUGCACAAUGGGCGAAAGCCUGAUGCAGCGACGCCGCGUGAGGGAUGACGGCCUUCGGGUUGUAAACCUCUUUCAGCAGGGACGAAGCGCAAGUGACGGUACCUGCAGAAGAAGCACCGGCUAACUACGUGCCAGCAGCCGCGGUAAUACGUAGGGUGCGAGCGUUGUCCGGAAUUAUUGGGCGUAAAGAGCUCGUAGGCGGUUUGUCGCGUCGGCCGUGAAAACUUGGGGCUUAACUCCAAGCUUGCGGUCGAUACGGGCAGACUUGAGUUCGGC
This 576-nucleotide ribosomal RNA is filed under the name bacterium 33-L049640-122-012-A05. RNAcentral describes it as "bacterial SSU rRNA". It matches the Rfam family "Bacterial small subunit ribosomal RNA", at positions 57 to 652 of the family's 1533-position model. The record is from RNAcentral.